CCUACGGGUGGCAGCAGUGAGGAAUAUUGGUCAAUGGACGAGAGUCUGAACCAGCCAAGUAGCGUGAAGGAUGACUGCCCUAUGGGCUGUAAACUUCUUUUAUAAAGGAAUACAACGAGUCACGUGUGCCUUUUUGCAUGUACUUUAUGAAUAAAGAUCGGCUAACUCCGUGCCAGCAGCCGCGGUACUACGGAGGAUCCGAGCGUGAUCCGGAUUUAUUGGGUUUAAAGGGAGCGUAGACGGGUUGUUAAGUCAGUUGUGAAAGUUUGCGGCUCAACCGGAAAAUUGCAAUGGAUACUGGCAGUCUUGAGUACAGAUGAGGAAGGCGGAAUUCGUGGUGUAGCGGUGAAAUGCUUAGAUAUCACGAAGAACCCCGAUUGCGAAGGCAGCUUACUAAACUGUGACUGACAUUGAUGCUCGAAAGUGUGGGUAUCAAACAGGAUUAGAUACCCCAGUAGUC
This 460-nucleotide ribosomal RNA is filed under the name uncultured bacterium. RNAcentral's name for it is "partial 16S ribosomal RNA". It matches the Rfam family "Bacterial small subunit ribosomal RNA", at positions 338 to 795 of the family's 1533-position model. The record is from RNAcentral.